ACAAAAGAAGCUGGACAUUAUGCAGCCUUCCAAAACUCCUCUGUGUUAAAUGGAACUGGCCAGAAGAUGAUUUUCUGUUUUACAAAGAUUCAACAAACAGCUACAGACAAGAUGCAACUACAGAGACGUGUUCCUCUACCAGUGUCCAGGUUUCUUCACAACACUUCACAGCAGAAGGACUACAUGGAGAGCUAAACAUGUCAAAGAAGCUGGACAUCAUGCAGCCUUCCAAAACUUCUCUGUGUGAAAUGGC
Micropterus salmoides (largemouth bass) is the source of this 253-nucleotide long non-coding RNA. RefSeq lists it as uncharacterized. The record is from RefSeq and is a predicted model, not a curated record. Lineage: Eukaryota; Metazoa; Chordata; Actinopteri; Centrarchiformes; Centrarchidae. The transcript is spliced from 3 exons.